Non-coding RNA from Brachypodium distachyon (stiff brome), 125 nucleotides. The record is from Rfam. Lineage: Eukaryota; Viridiplantae; Streptophyta; Magnoliopsida; Poales; Poaceae.
AAACUACUCCCUCCGACCGAAAUUACUUGUCAAAAUAUUACAUGUAUCUAGACGUUUUUUACACAUAGAUACAUCCGUAUUUGGGCAAAUUUGAGACAAGUAAUACCGAUCAGAGGGAGUGCCAA